Molecule: long non-coding RNA, 786 nt
Organism: Drosophila gunungcola (fruit fly)
Lineage: Eukaryota; Metazoa; Arthropoda; Insecta; Diptera; Drosophilidae
Exons: 2
Source: RefSeq, a predicted model, not a curated record
ACUUUCGUCGUGAGCGGUUCGUUCGCUGUUUCGCGCGCGCCUGGCGUUUAAAUUGAAUACUUUUGAAAAAACGGUUGCAAUAAAAUGCAGCUGCAGUCGUGCUAAAUCUUUGAGAAACUACUUGAUUCGAAGUCAAAAAUCUGCUGAUUUAAAUCACAGAAUCGAAACCAUUUUUUGUUUUGCGUAGUCGUGUGUGCUCAAGAAUUCAUAUUAUUUUUUGUGGCAAGCAACAAGUGCGAACCGAAGAAACAGCCCGAAACGUGCUGCAAAUUAUUAUUGUUUUUAUGCGGUUUUUUGUCGCAACAACACAGCUGUCAAAGAAUAUAAAACAGCAGCAAAACAAAAGUGCAGUGACUUGAAAAAAAGAAGCGAUCGCCUCUAGAAUAGAAAAGAGGAUAGAAUAAAACUACAACAAAGAAAGGAGCAUAAAGAAACAGAAAAAGAAAAAAAAAGAGAAUAGAACAGAACAGAAACAGAAACAAGAACAACUCCAACUCAUCAUCGUCGGCUCAAAAAAGGCUAACGCACUUAAAUCAAGGAAAUUGAAAUCAAAAUCAAAACAGCGAAACAGAUAUGGAAAUGAAUCGGGCUAAAGUCGUUGUUAAACUUAAACUUGGAGAUGCAAAACGUGAAACCCAAUACGAUGCUGUGUUGUGGGUGCCACUUUCCAACGAUGGAAUUAUGCACAACUGUGUGUGAUGUGGAGGAAACCGGCGAGUAAGCAAAUCAAAUAGCAAAUAGUGUAAACAAAGAGGAGUAAAGGGCAUUGGCUGGCUAAGUUAAAAA